AUACCGUGUUGAGGACACUUGCGGAGCAUCUCUUUAAACUGUUCCCACGCCUCAUAUAAUUGUUCAUACUCAAACUGCCGAAAUUGAGUAAUCUCGGCCCUCAGUUG
Molecule: non-coding RNA, 107 nt
Organism: Morus notabilis
Lineage: Eukaryota; Viridiplantae; Streptophyta; Magnoliopsida; Rosales; Moraceae
Source: Rfam